AUAUGCCUAGGUGGGAUUAGCUAGUUGGUGAGGUAAGGGCUCACCAAGGCGACGAUCCCUAGCUGGUCUGAGAGGAUGAUCAGCCACACUGGAACUGAGACACGGUCCAGACUCCUACGGGAGGCAGCAGUGGGGAAUAUUGCACAAUGGGCGCAAGCCUGAUGCAGCCAUGCCGCGUGUGUGAAGAAGGCCUUCGGGUUGUAAAGCACUUUCAGUCGUGAGGAAGGUAGUGUAGUUAAUAGCUGCAUUAUUUGACGUUAGCGACAGAAGAAGCACCGGCUAACUCCGUGCCAGCAGCCGCGGUAAUACGGAGGGUGCGAGCGUUAAUCGGAAUUACUGGGCGUAAAGCGCAUGCAGGUGGUUUGUUAAGUCAGAUGUGAAAGCCCGGGGCUCAACCUCGGAAUUGCAUUUGAAACUGGCAGACUAGAGUACUGUAGAGGGGGGUAGAAUUUCAGGUGUAGCGGUGAAAUGCGUAGAGAUCUGAAGGAAUACCGGUGGCGAAGGCGGCCCCCUGGACAGAUACUGACACUCAGAUGCGAAAGCGUGGGGAGCAAACAGGAUUAGAUACCCUGGUAGUCCACGCCGUAAACGAUGUCUACUUGGAGGUUGUGGCCUUGAGCCGUGGCUUUCGGAGCUAACGCGUUAAGUAGACCGCCUGGGGAGUACGGUCGCAAGAUUAAAACUCAAAUGAAUUGACGGGGGCCCGCACAAGCGGUGGAGCAUGUGGUUUAAUUCGAUGCAACGCGAAGAACCUUACCUACUCUUGACAUCCAGAGAACUUUCCAGAGAUGGAUUGGUGCCUUCGGGAACUCUGAGACAGGUGCUGCAUGGCUGUCGUCAGCUCG
RNAcentral lists this ribosomal RNA (845 nucleotides) under Vibrio sp. RNAcentral describes it as "bacterial SSU rRNA". It matches the Rfam family "Bacterial small subunit ribosomal RNA", at positions 225 to 1062 of the family's 1533-position model. Lineage: Bacteria; Pseudomonadati; Pseudomonadota; Gammaproteobacteria; Vibrionales; Vibrionaceae. The record is from RNAcentral.